Molecule: ribosomal RNA, 433 nt
Filed under: uncultured bacterium
Lineage: Bacteria
Description: partial 16S ribosomal RNA
Rfam family: Bacterial small subunit ribosomal RNA
Source: RNAcentral
AGCGAACGCUGGCGGCAGGCCUAACACAUGCAAGUCGAACGAACUCUUCGGAAUUAUUGGCGGACGGGUGAGUAACACGUGGGAACGUUCCUUUUGGUUCGGAAUAACUCAGGGAAACUUGUGCUAAUACCGAAUGUGUCCUUCGGGGGAAAGAUUUAUCGCCAUUAGAGCGGCCCGCGUCUGAUUAUCUAGUUGUGGAGGUAACGGCUCAACAAGGCGACGAUCAGUAGCUGGUCUGAGAGGAUGACCAGCCACACUGGAACUGAGACACGGCCCAGACUCCUCCGGGAGGCAGCAGUGGGGAAUCUUGCGCAAUGGGCGAAAGCAUGACGCAGCCAUGCCGCGUCAAUGAUGAAGGUCUUAGGAUUGUAAAAUUCUUUAACCGGGGACGAUCAUGACGGUACCCGGAGACGAAGCCCCGGCUAACUUCGUG